Molecule: ribosomal RNA, 709 nt
Filed under: Erysiphe diffusa
Lineage: Eukaryota; Fungi; Ascomycota; Leotiomycetes; Helotiales; Erysiphaceae
Description: partial 28S ribosomal RNA
Rfam family: Eukaryotic large subunit ribosomal RNA
Source: RNAcentral
UAACGGCGAGUGAAGCGGUAACAGCUCAAAUUUGAAAUCUGGCUCCUCUGGAGUCCGAGUUGUAAUUUGUAGAAGAUGCUUUGGGUUGUGGGCUCGGCCUAAGUUCCUUGGAACAGGACGUCAUAGAGGGUGAGAAUCCCGUAUGUGGCCGAGGCCCGCGCCUAUGUAAAGCUCUUUCAACGAGUCGAGUUGUUUGGGAAUGCAGCUCAAAAUGGGUGGUAAAUUUCAUCUAAAGCUAAAUAUGGGCCAGAGACCGAUAGCGCACAAGUAGAGUGAUCGAAAGAUGAAAAGCACUUUGGAAAGAGAGUUAAACAGUACGUGAAAUUGUUGAAAGGGAAGCGCUUGCACCCAGACUUGGGCGCUGCUGAUCACCUUGCGGUCUCCGCGAGUGCACUCGACAGCGCACAGGCCAGCAUCGGUUCGGGUGGCUGGAUAAAGGCCGUAGGAACGUAGCUCCCUUCGGGGAGUGUUAUAGCCUACGGUGCCAUGCAGCCCAACCGGACCGAGGACCGCGCCUUCGGGCUAGGAUGCUGGCGUAAUGGGUGUAAGCGACCCGUCUUGAAACACGGACCAAGGAGUCUAACAUCUAUGCGAGUGUUUGGGUGGUAAACCCAUACGCGGAAUGAAAGUGAACGUAGGUGAGAACCCCUUUGGGGCGCAUCAUCGACCGAUCCUGAUGUCUUCGGAUGGAUUUGAGUAAGAGCAUAGC